Electrophorus electricus (electric eel) is the source of this 387-nucleotide non-coding RNA. Lineage: Eukaryota; Metazoa; Chordata; Actinopteri; Gymnotiformes; Gymnotidae. The record is from the annotation of a RefSeq genome assembly.
CCGCCCACCCUCACGGUCCUGCCCCCCUCCAGUGUACAGCUGCAGCAGGAGAAGGUCACACUCGUGUGUCUGGCCAACAAGGGCUUCCCCUCAGACUGGAAGCUGAGCUGGAAGGUGGCUGGUAGCAGCUGGAGCUCGGGGGUGAGCCAGAGCUCCGGGCUUCUGCAGAAGGACGGCCUCUACAGCUGGAGCAGCACCCUGACCCUCCAGAAGGAGGAGUGGCUGAAGAACACAGUGACCUGUGAGGCCACCAAGGACUCCCAGUCUCCUGUCACACAGACACUGAGUAGAGAGCAGUGUUGGGGACUCGUAAUAGGUCAGACUCCACAGUGCCUGCAAGAGAUCGACAUGGCUGUCCUUGUGCCUUGGUCGUUCCGGACUCUUUGA